UACAGAGGUCUCAAGCGUUGUUCGGAUUCAUUGGGCGUAAAGGGUGCGUAGGUGGCAGGGUAAGUCGGAUGUGAAAUCCCGGGGCUCAACCUCGGAACUGCAUUCGAUACUGCUUUGCUGGAGUACUGGAGAGGAGAUUGGAAUUUACGGUGUAGCAGUGAAAUGCGUAGAUAUCAGGAGGAACACCGGUGGCGAAGGCGGGUCUCUGGGCCGAUACUGACACUGAGGAGCGAAAGCGUGGGGAGCGAACAGG
RNAcentral lists this ribosomal RNA (253 nucleotides) under uncultured bacterium. Its description in RNAcentral is "partial 16S ribosomal RNA". It matches the Rfam family "Bacterial small subunit ribosomal RNA", at positions 524 to 776 of the family's 1533-position model. The record is from RNAcentral.